GCUAAAGCCGGUCCAGCGGCGGCGUGAGUCGGGAGGGGUGAAGAGUUAUCCUGAUUAACUGGGGUUAAAGGGGGCGUAGUUGGGCAGUGAAGGCAGUGGUGAAAUCUCUGGGCUUAACCCAGAAACUGCCGUUGAUACUAUCUGUCUUGAAUGUAGUGGAGGUGAGCGGAAUAUGUCAUGUAGCGGUGAAAUGCUUAGAUAUGACAUAGAACACCAAUUGCGAAGGCAGCUCGCUACACUACUAUUGACACUGAGGCACGAAAGCGUGGGGAUCAAACAGGAUUAGAUACCCGGGUAGUC
Molecule: ribosomal RNA, 300 nt
Filed under: uncultured Rubritalea sp.
Lineage: Bacteria; Pseudomonadati; Verrucomicrobiota; Verrucomicrobiia; Verrucomicrobiales; Rubritaleaceae
Description: bacterial SSU rRNA
Rfam family: Bacterial small subunit ribosomal RNA
Source: RNAcentral